GGAAUAUUGGGCAAUGGAGGAAACUCUGACCCAGCCAUGCCGCGUGAGUGAAGAAGGUUUUCGAAUUGUAAAGCUCUUUCGGAUGUGACGAUGAUGACGGUAACAUCUAAAGAAGCCCCGGCAAACUUCGUGCCAGCAGCCGCGGUAAUACGAAGGGGGCGAGCGUUGUUCGGAAUUACUGGGCGUAAAGGGUGUGUAGGCGGAGCAGUAAGAUAGCGGUGAAAUACCUGAGCUUAACUUAGGAAUUGCCGUUAUAACUAUUGUUCUAGAGUGAUAGAGAGGAUAUUGGAAUACCCAGUGUAGAGGUGAAAUUCGUAGAUAUUGGGUAGAACACCGGAGGCGAAGGCGAGUAUCUGGCUAUCAACUGACGCUGAGGCACGAAAGCAUGGGGAUCAAACA
RNAcentral lists this ribosomal RNA (399 nucleotides) under uncultured bacterium. RNAcentral's name for it is "bacterial SSU rRNA". It matches the Rfam family "Bacterial small subunit ribosomal RNA", at positions 358 to 774 of the family's 1533-position model. The record is from RNAcentral.